GAUUACAUUCGUCGUGAGAUGAGUGUUAUCCAAAACUUUACGGUGAGAAUCCGUGACAAACUUGCGGGGCUUAUGUCUUAUUAUAUUUAAGCAUUAGUGCAGACUUUAAAAUCAAGU
Molecule: non-coding RNA, 117 nt
Filed under: unclassified sequences
Source: RNAcentral